GUGACUAAGCGUACACGGUGGAUGCCUUGGCAGUCAGAGGCGAUGAAAGACGUAGUAACUUGCGAUAAGCCCAGAUUAGGUAGUAACAACCAUUUGAGUCUGGGAUUUCUGAAUGGGGAAACCCACUAGCAUAAGCUAGUAUCGUUAUGUGAAUACAUAGCAUAAUGAGGCGAACCGGGGGAACUGAAACAUCUAAGUACCCCGAGGAAAAGAAAUCAACCGAGAUUCCGAAAGUAGCGGCGAGCGAAAUUGGACUAGCCCUUAAGCUUUACACGCGUUAGACGAACGG
Molecule: ribosomal RNA, 289 nt
Filed under: Vibrio parahaemolyticus
Lineage: Bacteria; Pseudomonadati; Pseudomonadota; Gammaproteobacteria; Vibrionales; Vibrionaceae
Description: partial 23S ribosomal RNA
Rfam family: Bacterial large subunit ribosomal RNA
Source: RNAcentral